CUGCGGCGUGCCUUACACAUGCAAGUCCGACGUGAAAGGGGAGCAAUCCCCCGGUAGGGUGCAAACGGGUGAGUAAGACAUGGGUGAUCUACCCUGGAGAUGGGGAUAUCCCUCCGAAAGGGGGGGCAAUACCGAAUAGAGUCCGGUUCCGUGAAGGGGACCGGGGAAAGGGAGGCCUCUGGAACAAGCUUCCGCUCCUGGAUGAGCCCAUGGCCCAUCAGCUAGUUGGUAGGGUAAAGGCCUACCAAGGCGACGACGGGUAGCUGGUCUGAGAGGACAACCAGCCACACUGGCACUGAGACACGGGCCAGACUCCUACGGGAGGCAGCAGUGAGGAAUAUUGCGCAAUGGGGGCAACCCUGACGCAGCAACGCCAGCAGUGUGGGAAGAAGGCUUUCGGGUUGUAAACCACUUUUGCCCGGGACGAAAAGGGGCGUCAGAAUACGGCGCUUCGAUGACGGUACCGGGAGAAUAAGCCACGGCUAACUCUGUGCCAGCAGCCGCGGUAAGACAGAGGUGGCAAGCGUUGUUCGGAGUUACUGGGCGUAAAGAGUCUGUAGGUGGUUUGUCAAGUCUUUGGUGAAAGGCCGUGGCUUAACCAUGGGAAUGCCAAAGAGACUGGCAGA
This 626-nucleotide ribosomal RNA is filed under the name Leptospirillum sp. TzT-JG-3. Its description in RNAcentral is "bacterial SSU rRNA". It matches the Rfam family "Bacterial small subunit ribosomal RNA", at positions 36 to 640 of the family's 1533-position model. The record is from RNAcentral. Lineage: Bacteria; Pseudomonadati; Nitrospirota; Nitrospiria; Nitrospirales; Nitrospiraceae.